Molecule: ribosomal RNA, 144 nt
Filed under: Triticum aestivum (bread wheat)
Lineage: Eukaryota; Viridiplantae; Streptophyta; Magnoliopsida; Poales; Poaceae
Description: partial small subunit ribosomal RNA
Source: RNAcentral
CAAGCACUUGGUUCGCCCCUUACUAUAACCAUCCCACUCAAUCUUUUACAAUGAUGUUUCGUACUCUCUCGACUAGGUCAUCAUAAGAAAAUACUGCCAAAUCUUUCCGAAAUGAGAGAAUGAGGGAAGGCGCGCUACAACUAA